GAUGAACGCUGGCGGCGUGCCUAAUACAUGCAAGUCGAGCGAACAGACGAGGAGCUUGCUCCUCUGACGUUAGCGGCGGACGGGUGAGUAACACGUGGAUAACCUACCUAUAAGACUGGGAUAACUUCGGGAAACCGGAGCUAAUACCGGAUAAUAUAUUGAACCGCAUGGUUCAAUAGUGAAAGACGGUUUUGCUGUCACUUAUAGAUGGAUCCGCGCCGCAUUAGCUAGUUGGUAAGGUAACGGCUUACCAAGGCGACGAUGCGUAGCCGACCUGAGAGGGUGAUCGGCCACACUGGAACUGAGACACGGCCCAGACUCAUACGGGAGGCAGCAGUAGAAAAUUUUCCGAAAUGGGCGAAAGCAUGACGGAGAAACGCCGCGUGAGUGAUGAAGGUUUUCGGAGCGUAAAACUCUGUUAUUAGGGAAGAACAAAUGUGUAAGUAACUAUGCACGUCUUGACGGUACAUAAUCAGAAAGCCACGGCUAACUACG
This 495-nucleotide ribosomal RNA is filed under the name uncultured bacterium. RNAcentral's name for it is "partial 16S ribosomal RNA". It matches the Rfam family "Bacterial small subunit ribosomal RNA", at positions 28 to 505 of the family's 1533-position model. The record is from RNAcentral.